This 399-nucleotide ribosomal RNA is filed under the name uncultured bacterium. RNAcentral's name for it is "bacterial SSU rRNA". It matches the Rfam family "Bacterial small subunit ribosomal RNA", at positions 361 to 776 of the family's 1533-position model. The record is from RNAcentral.
AUAUUGGACAAUGGGCGAAAGCCUGAUCCAGCCAUGCCGCGUGAGUGAUGAAGGCCUUAGGGUUGUAAAGCUCUUUCGCCGGGGAAGAUUAUGACGGUACCAUAUGAAUAAGGACCGGCUAACUACGUGCCAGCAGCCGCGGUAAUACGUAGGGUCCAAGCGUUAUCCGGAAUCACUGGGCGUAAAGCGUGUGUAGGCGGCGUGUUAAGUGCAAUGCGAAAUCUUGUGGCUCAACCAUAUAGACUGUAUUGCAUACUGGCAUGCUAGAGGAUGGCAGAGGCAAGUGGAAUUGGUAGUGUAGCAGUGAAAUGCGUAGAUAUUACCAGGAACACCAAUGGCGAAGGCAGCUUGCUGGGCCAUUUCUGACGCUGAGACACGAAAGCGUGGGGAGCGAACAGG